Long non-coding RNA from Homo sapiens (human), 702 nucleotides. Ensembl annotates it as long intergenic non-protein coding RNA 3021. NCBI's taxonomy places the organism in Eukaryota, Metazoa, Chordata, Mammalia, Primates, Hominidae. The record is from Ensembl.
ACAGUUCUUAACGGCCGCGCGUCCAGAGUCUGUUCCUUCUGAUGUUCGGAUGUGUUCGGAGUUUCUUCCUUCUGGUGGGUUCGUGGUCUCGCUGGCUCGGGAGUGAAGCUGCAGACGUUUGCGGAACUCGUGAGUUAUGACAAAAAGAUAUUAUGACUCCCAUGCAGCGGAUGAAGACAUUGAUGCCCAUGAAAGGUAAUUCAGUUCCAACCCCUUCAGUGACAGCAGAGAGACCCAGGCCACCUUCCUUGAGGAUUUCGGAGCUGCAGCCCACAGCCAGGGCCAGAGUGGACUCAGCUCUCCAACCCACGCCCAUGAAUCUCUGCGACUAAAGAUUUCCCCAGACGCUCCCAGGUUCCUCCUGAUCUGCAGCAUUGUCGUCCCUGCCACUGACCAGGAAGCCCUCUGUGCUCCCAUAGCCCCUUCAGAAACCUGUGACUUCCUGAGUCCUAAGUCUUCAGCAGAAACAGCAGCUGCCCCACGCCUUGAGCGGCAGCAGGACCCUUUCUGCCCUGAUCUCCACUCAGCGCUGGAAGCCUGGCUCACAUUCUCUCUACUCACAUCAGCCUGAUGUCUUCAAGCCAGGAUUUCUUGGGGUUUAUCUCACCAGAUGCAAUCAACUCAAGUUCCCUCUGUGGCGCCUUCUCAUUCCCUUAUGCCAAGUCACACUAAAAUACUUGAGAACAGUAUCCAUAAAACGUU